AAUGAACGCUGGCGGCGCGCCUAAUACAUGCAAGUCGAGCGAGAAGACGUAGCAAUACGUUUGUAAAGCGGCGAACGGGUGAGGAAUACAUGGGUAACCUACCCUCGAGUGGGGAAUAACUAGCCGAAAGGUUAGCUAAUACCGCGUACGCUCCUUGGACUUCGGUUCAGGGAGGAAAGCGAUACCGUGGGUAUCGCGCUCUUGGUUGGGCUCAUGUCCUAUCAGCUUGUUGGUGAGGUAACGGCUCACCAAGGCUUCGACGGGUAGCUGGUCUGAGAGGACGAUCAGCCACACUGGCACUGCGACACGGGCCAGACUCCUACGGGAGGCAGCAGUAAGGAAUAUUGCGCAAUGGGCGAAAGCCUGACGCAGCGACGCCG
This 380-nucleotide ribosomal RNA is filed under the name uncultured bacterium. RNAcentral describes it as "bacterial SSU rRNA". It matches the Rfam family "Bacterial small subunit ribosomal RNA", at positions 29 to 399 of the family's 1533-position model. The record is from RNAcentral.